Molecule: ribosomal RNA, 482 nt
Filed under: uncultured bacterium
Lineage: Bacteria
Description: partial 16S ribosomal RNA
Rfam family: Bacterial small subunit ribosomal RNA
Source: RNAcentral
AUUGAACGCUGGCGGCAUGCCUUACACAUGCAAGUCGAACGGUAACAGGUCUUCGGAUGCUGACGAGUGGCGAACGGGUGAGUAAUACAUCGGAACGUGCCCAGACGUGGGGGAUAACGAGGCGAAAGCUUUGCUAAUACCGCAUACGAUCUAAGGAUGAAAGCAGGGGACCGCAAGGCCUUGUGCGUUUGGAGCGGCCGAUGGCAGAUUAGGUAGUUGGUGGGAUAAAAGCUUGCCAAGCCGACGAUCUGUAGCUGGUCUGAGAGGACGACCAGCCACACUGGGACUGAGACACGGCCCAGACUCCUACGGGAGGCAGCAGUGGGGAAUUUUGGACAAUGGGCGAAAGCCUGAUCCAGCAAUGCCGCGUGCAGGAUGAAGGCCUUCGGGUUGUAAACUGCUUUUGUACGGAACGAAAAGGCUCUGGCUAAUACCUGGGGCACAUGACGGUACCGUAAGAAUAAGCACCGGCUAACUACGUG